RNAcentral lists this ribosomal RNA (466 nucleotides) under uncultured bacterium. RNAcentral's name for it is "bacterial SSU rRNA". It matches the Rfam family "Bacterial small subunit ribosomal RNA", at positions 8 to 507 of the family's 1533-position model. The record is from RNAcentral.
AGAGUUUGAUCAUGGCUCAGGAUGAACGCUGGCGGCGUGCCUAAUACAUGCAAGUCGAGCGGCAGCACGGUCUUCGGACUGGUGGCGAGCGGCGGACGGCUGAGUAACGCGUAGGAAUAUACCCCAAAGUGAGGGAUAACUGCCCGAAAAGGUGGCUAAUACCGCAUGUGGUCUUCGGACUAAAGCCUUCGGGCGCUUUGGGAAUAGCCUGCGUAAGAUUAGCUAGUUGGUGAGGUAAUGGCUCACCAAGGCGACGAUCUUUAGCUGGUCUGAGAGGAUGACCAGCCAGACUGGAACUGAGACACGGUCCAGACUCCUACGGGAGGCAGCAGUAGGGAAUUUUCCACAAUGGGCGAAAGCCUGAUGGAGCAACACCGCGUGCAGGAUGAAGGCCCUCGGGUCGUAAACUGCUUUAUGCGCGAAGAAUAUGACGGUAACACAUGAAUAAGGGUCGGCUAACUACGUG